This 253-nucleotide ribosomal RNA is filed under the name uncultured bacterium. RNAcentral describes it as "partial 16S ribosomal RNA". It matches the Rfam family "Bacterial small subunit ribosomal RNA", at positions 524 to 776 of the family's 1533-position model. The record is from RNAcentral.
UACGUAGGGGGCAAGCGUUGUCCGGAAUCAUUGGGCGUAAAGCGCGCGCAGGCGGUCCCUUAAGUCUGAUGUGAAAGCCCACGGCUCAACCGUGGAGGGCCAUUGGAAACUGGGGGACUUGAGUGCAGGAGAGGAGAGUGGAAUUCCUGGUGUAGCGGUGAAAUGCGUAGAGAUCAGGAGGAACACCGAUGGCGAAGGCAGCUCUCUGGCCUGUAACUGACGCUGAGGCGCGAAAGCGUGGGGAGCAAACAGG